RNAcentral lists this ribosomal RNA (253 nucleotides) under uncultured bacterium. RNAcentral describes it as "partial 16S ribosomal RNA". It matches the Rfam family "Bacterial small subunit ribosomal RNA", at positions 524 to 776 of the family's 1533-position model. The record is from RNAcentral.
UACGAAGGGAGCUAGCGUUGUUCGGAAUCACUGGGAGUAAAGGGCUCGUAGGUGGCCAACUAAGUCAGACGUGAAAUCCCUCAGCUUAACUGGGGAACUGCGUCUGAUACUGGAUGGCUUGAGUUUGGGAGAGGGAUGCGGAAUUCCAGGUGUAGCGGUGAAAUGCGUAGAUAUCUGGAGGAACACCGGUGGCGAAGGCGGCAUCCUGGACCAACACUGACACUGAGGAGCGAAAGCCAGGGGAGCAAACGGG